UCACCAGGUGCCCUGAGCUGCGGGGUCUCACCCUGUCCGGCGGCGUCCCUGACACCGUGAGCCUGGAGCCCCUCACCAGGUGCCCUGAGCUGCGGCGUCUCACCCUGUCCGGCGGCGUCCCUGACGCCGUGCUGGACAGUCUCAGCGGCUGCCCCGGGCUGGAGUACCUUACACUGGGGGACUGCCAGCGGCCGGCAGAGACGGCCUUCACAGCAUCAGCGGUCACCAGACUGGUCAAGUCGUGUCGGGAGCUGCAGCUUCUGUUCCUUCACUGCACGGCAGACACCGGCCGGGCCGUGCUGACCGCCCUGAAGGAGGCGGACCUGCGCCGGGGCCCAUCCGGUACCAUCUGGCUCAUUGUCCCCGAGGAGCUGUACCGUCAGCUGGAGAGACAGGAAGGCGGUGGGGUCAGAGUGUGUCCGUGGGAGGAUUGAUGCGCUGCACUACCGACCGUGCAGUGAUGAGCUGACUGCAGAGAGUCCGAGCCAGUCGGCCGGGGCCGCCAGCUGACUGCUGCCGUGUGUGCUGCACCAGCCGGCACUGAGAGCGGCGCCGGUCAGCCGGCACACGGCCCCGGUGUCCGCUCUAGUGUAGUCAUGUAGUUGUAGUAGUAGUAGUGUAGAUGUAGUAGUAGCACACGGAUGUGAUGUAGUAGGUAAUUACCGGCCGGGUAUUGUGGGUAAUUGGACGGAAGAUGUGAUGCAGUGGGUGAUUACCGGGCGGGUAUUGUGGGUAAUUGGACAAGAGAUGUGAUGUAGUGGGUAAUUACCGGUUGGAUAUUGUGGGUAAUUGGACAGUGACAAGUGAUGUGCUGGAGAGACUACCGAUCGUGGCAUUGCGUUAUUCUGUAUGUGGAACACACGUCUCUGACCGUCCGACUCGGUUCACCGCGCCUGGUCCCGGCGGCACGGCCGGCCUCGGUCACGUGACCGUCCCCCGGUGGAGUCGGACGGCUCGGUCACGUGACCGCUCCCCCGGGUCUGGCUGCACCUCGGCUCGGCGGUGCUGAGCGCCGUGCUGAGCGUGUUGUGACACGUCCCACACGGACAGCUCUACUCUACUACUGGCUAGCUGCCGUCCGAGCUGGCAGUAUACACGCGGUGCCAGUUCAGACGGCGGCCGGCCGCGCCGCGCCCGCCCGCUCCGGUCCCGGCCGGCGGCCGUCACCCGGCCCGGGGCGGGGACCGGUCCGUCAGCUGACCAUUGGUCCGUCAGCUGACCAUUGGUCCGUCAGCUGACCAUUGGUCCGUCAGCUGAUUGGUCCGUCAGCUGAUUGGUCCGUCAGCCGCCCCGCUCUCCACCGGCGGAGCGCGGCGCACGCCGAGACUCGAGACGUCAAACACGAUGUAUAUAGGUUUAGGCUGGGUUUAGGGGUUUAAUCGGAUGGUCUGGUGUAGACCAUAUGUCUAUUCUACUCUAUAUGUAAUAUACUAACAAGAGGAGUUGCUUGAGC
Molecule: long non-coding RNA, 1453 nt
Filed under: Amphibalanus amphitrite
Lineage: Eukaryota; Metazoa; Arthropoda; Thecostraca; Balanomorpha; Balanidae
Description: uncharacterized LOC122388219
Source: RNAcentral